CCUACGGGAGGCAGCAGUGAGGAAUAUUGGUCAAUGGGCGAGAGCCUGGACCAGCCAAGUCGCGUGAAGGAUGACGGCCCUACGGGUUGUAAACUUCUUUUGUCAGGGAGCAAAUGGGUCCACGCGUGGGCUUAGCGAGAGUACCUGAAGAAAAAGCAUCGGCUAACUCCGUGCCAGCAGCCGCGGUAAUACGGAGGAUGCGAGCGGUAUCCGGAUUUAUUGGGUUUAAAGGGUGCGUAGGCGGAAUAUCAAGUCAGCGGUAAAAAUUCGGGGCUCAACCCCGUCGUGCCGUUGAAACUGAUGUUCUGGAGUGGGCGAGAAGUAUGCGGAAUGCGUGGUGUAGCGGUGAAAUGCAUAGAUAUCACGCAGAACUCCGAUUGCGAAGGCAGCAUACCGGCGCCCAACUGACGCUGAAGCACGAAAGCGUGGGUAUCGAACAGGAUUAGAUACCCUUGUAGUC
RNAcentral lists this ribosomal RNA (460 nucleotides) under uncultured bacterium. Its description in RNAcentral is "partial 16S ribosomal RNA". It matches the Rfam family "Bacterial small subunit ribosomal RNA", at positions 338 to 795 of the family's 1533-position model. The record is from RNAcentral.